Molecule: microRNA, 20 nt
Filed under: Picea abies (Norway spruce)
Lineage: Eukaryota; Viridiplantae; Streptophyta; Pinopsida; Pinales; Pinaceae
Description: pab-miR11582
Source: miRBase by way of RNAcentral
UUUGUCCAACGUAAACGGCA